This 253-nucleotide ribosomal RNA is filed under the name uncultured bacterium. RNAcentral describes it as "partial 16S ribosomal RNA". It matches the Rfam family "Bacterial small subunit ribosomal RNA", at positions 524 to 776 of the family's 1533-position model. The record is from RNAcentral.
UACGUAGGUGGCAAGCGUUGUCCGGAAUUAUUGGGCGUAAAGCGCGCGCAGGCGGUCCUUUAAGUCUGAUGUGAAAGCCCACGGCUCAACCGUGGAGGGUCAUUGGAAACUGGGGGACUUGAGUGCAGAAGAGGAGAGUGGAAUUCCACGUGUAGCGGUGAAAUGCGUAGAGAUGUGGAGGAACACCAGUGGCGAAGGCGGGUUGCUGGGCUGACACUGACGCUGAUGCGCGAAAGCCAGGGGAGCGAACAGG